Molecule: ribosomal RNA, 584 nt
Filed under: Pantoea sp. HRTK125
Lineage: Bacteria; Pseudomonadati; Pseudomonadota; Gammaproteobacteria; Enterobacterales; Erwiniaceae
Description: bacterial SSU rRNA
Rfam family: Bacterial small subunit ribosomal RNA
Source: RNAcentral
AGGGGUGUUAAGUGUCUGGAGAUCUGCCCUAUAGAGGGGGAUAACCUCUGGAAACGGUGGCUAAUACCGCAAAACCUCGCAAGACCAAAGAGGGGGACCUUCGGGCCUCUCACUAUCGGAUGAACCCAGAUGGGAUUAGCUAGUAGGCGGGGUAACGGCCCACCUAGGCCACGAUCCCUAGCUGGUCUGAGAGGAUGACCAGCCACACUGGAACUGAGACACGGUCCAGACUCCUACGGGAGGCAGCAGUGGGGAAUAUUGCACAAUGGGCGCAAGCCUGAUGCACCCGUGCCGCGUGUAUGAAGAAGGCCUUCGGGUUGUAAAGUACUUUCAGCGGGGAGGAAGGCGAUGUGGUUAAUAACCGCAUUGAUUGACGUUACCCGCAAAAGAAGCACCGGCUAACUCCGUGCCAGCAGCCGCGGUAAUACAGAGGGUGCAAGCGUUAAUCGGAAUUACUGGGCGUAAAGCGCACGCACGCGGUCUGUUAAGUCAGAUGUGAAAUCCCCGGGCUUAACCUGGGAACUGCAUUUGAAACUGGCAGGCUUGAGUCUCGUAGAGGGGGGUAGAAUUCCGUGUGUAGCGGU